Molecule: long non-coding RNA, 441 nt
Organism: Rhineura floridana
Lineage: Eukaryota; Metazoa; Chordata; Lepidosauria; Squamata; Rhineuridae
Exons: 3
Source: RefSeq, a predicted model, not a curated record
AACGAGGCAUUUGCUGCCUCUGGCAGGUGGCACAUAGAGACGGCAGCUGAUAAGGAGAUAAGAAUUCUUAUAAAAGAGAAAGGAAUUCCUGAAUUCAGCAUCAGUCUUUGUGACUGAUCCAAUGAUUGCUGCUUAGCUCGCUGCUGGAGACUGAGCUGAAGACAAACUGCUGCUAUGCUGUGCUACUGCUGAUCACAGAGGCCUGCCUCCCUGUAGCAUAGAAGAGGCAAAGAAGACCAAGCCAGUGGAGAAAUCUAACUGUUUCAAGUCAGACACUUCGAAGAGAACUCAGAGCUUGAAUGAAGGAAAUCUACCAAAUAGCAGAUAUGCUGGCAACCAGAGGUGACAGUUGUGAAACUUUGGCUCUCUAUAGCAGCGUUCCCCAAGCUGGUGCCCUCCAGAUGUUUUGGACUACAGUUCCUAUCAGCCAUUAAUGCACAG